UACGGAGGAUGCGAGCGUUAUCCGGAUUUAUUGGGUUUAAAGGGUGCGCAGGCGGGCUGUUAAGCCGGCGGUAAAAAUUCAGGGCUCAACCCCGGCCCGCCGUUGAAACUGGCAGUCUCGAGUUGGAGAGAAGUAUGCGGAAUGCGCGGUGUAGCGGUGAAAUGCAUAGAUAUCGCGCAGAACUCCGAUUGCGAAGGCAGCAUGCCGGCUCCACACUGACGCUGAGGCACGAAAGCGUGGGUAUCGAACAGG
This 252-nucleotide ribosomal RNA is filed under the name uncultured Bacteroidales bacterium. RNAcentral describes it as "partial 16S ribosomal RNA". It matches the Rfam family "Bacterial small subunit ribosomal RNA", at positions 524 to 776 of the family's 1533-position model. The record is from RNAcentral. Lineage: Bacteria; Pseudomonadati; Bacteroidota; Bacteroidia; Bacteroidales.